This 73-nucleotide transfer RNA is filed under the name Pteropus alecto (black flying fox). It matches the Rfam family "tRNA". From Rfam's summary of the family: Transfer RNA (tRNA) molecules are approximately 80 nucleotides in length. Their secondary structure includes four short double-helical elements and three loops (D, anti-codon, and T loops). The record is from Rfam by way of RNAcentral. Lineage: Eukaryota; Metazoa; Chordata; Mammalia; Chiroptera; Pteropodidae.
GGUCCCAUAGCGUAGCGGUUAGGACUUCUGCUUUACACCCAGAAGGUCCUAGGUUCGUGUCCCAGUGGAGCCA